Long non-coding RNA from Pyrus x bretschneideri (Chinese white pear), 396 nucleotides. RefSeq lists it as uncharacterized. NCBI's taxonomy places the organism in Eukaryota, Viridiplantae, Streptophyta, Magnoliopsida, Rosales, Rosaceae. The transcript is spliced from 3 exons. The record is from RefSeq and is a predicted model, not a curated record.
UCAAUCAAGCAGAUAAGAUUCGGAAAGAAAACUGCACAUCUGUUGCCAGCAAUGCUCAUGGGGAGAAGUAUAGGAAACCAAAGCCUACAAAUCUGAAGCCUUUUAGGUUUAGAACUGAUGAAAGAGGGAUGUUUAAGGAAGCAACUUUGGAGGAAAAAGCUCAUGCACCAUUGAAGGAGAUCACAUUAGUCAUGACUCCAGGAGCAAAGUCAACAAGCAAACAUCGGAAUGUAAUACAGGCAAAACAUUGGAGCAGUUGGUCAUAUUUAGAAGAGCAAACGAGGAUGGAGUUCUUGGUGUUGCAUGAAGUUGAUGCGCAUUAGAUGGACAUCCAUCCCGUCUCCAAUGGAAGAAAUUUGAUGUCACCAUCUUCAGCUUUCCUCAUGUAGGCCAUUA